GCCUGCGGUUUAAUUUGACUCAACACGGGAAACCUCACCAGGCCCGGACACUGGAAGGAUUGACAGAUUGAGAGCUCUUUCUUGAUUCGGUGGGUGGUGGUGCAUGRCCGUUCAUAGUUGGUGGAUCGAUUUGUCUGGUUAAUUCCGAUAACGAACGAGACUCUAGCCUGCUAACUAGGCGAUACCGGCAUCCUUGGCGCAGCCGGCGACAAACAAUCUUCUUAGAGGGACAGGCAGCUUCUAGCUGCACGAGACUGAGCAAUAACAGGUCUGUGAUGCCCUUAGAUGUUCUGGGCAGCACGCGCGCUACACUGAAGGGAUCAGUGUGUGUUUUCCUUGCCCGAGAGGGCCGGGUAACCCGCUGAACCUCCUUCGUGCUAGGGAUUGGGGCUUGCAAUUGUUCCCCACGAACGAGGAAUUUCCAGUAAGCGUGAGUCAUAAGCUCACGUUGAUUACGUCCCUGCCCUUUGUACACACCGCCCGUCGCUACUACCGAUUGAAUGAUUUAGUGAGGUCUUCGGACCAGUGCGCGGCUUCCUCGCGGUGGCCGUAGCAACGGAAAGAUGACCGAACUUGAUUA
This 580-nucleotide ribosomal RNA is filed under the name Aclodes cameronae. RNAcentral's name for it is "bacterial SSU rRNA". It matches the Rfam family "Eukaryotic small subunit ribosomal RNA", at positions 1192 to 1791 of the family's 1831-position model. Lineage: Eukaryota; Metazoa; Arthropoda; Insecta; Orthoptera; Phalangopsidae. The record is from RNAcentral.